This 858-nucleotide ribosomal RNA is filed under the name uncultured Flavobacteriia bacterium. RNAcentral's name for it is "bacterial SSU rRNA". It matches the Rfam family "Bacterial small subunit ribosomal RNA", at positions 56 to 918 of the family's 1533-position model. Lineage: Bacteria; Pseudomonadati; Bacteroidota; Flavobacteriia. The record is from RNAcentral.
UGCAAGUCGAGGGGUAACGGGGUGCUUGCACCGCCGACGACCGGCGCACGGGUGCGUAACGCGUAUGCAAUCUGCCUUGUACUGGGGUAUAGCCUUUAGAAAUGAAGAUUAACCCCCCAUGGUAUGCGGAUCCCGCAUGGGGACCACAUUAAAGUUUACGGUACAAGAUGGGCAUGCGUCCUAUUAGCUAGUUGGUGCGGUAACGGCGCACCAAGGCCACGAUAGGUAGGGGCCCUGAGAGGGGGAUCCCCCACACUGGUACUGAGACACGGACCAGACUCCUACGGGAGGCAGCAGUGAGGAAUAUUGGACAAUGGGCGGAAGCCUGAUCCAGCCAUGCCGCGUGCAGGAAGACUGCCCUAUGGGUUGUAAACUGCUUUUGUACGGGAAGAAACACCCCCUCGCGAGGGGGCUUGACGGUACCGUAAGAAUAAGGAUCGGCUAACUCCGUGCCAGCAGCCGCGGUAAUACGGAGGAUCCGAGCGUUAUCCGGAAUCAUUGGGUUUAAAGGGUCCGUAGGUGGAAGGUUAAGUCAGAGGUGAAAUCCUGCAGCUCAACUGUAGAAUUGCCUUUGAUACUGGCCCUCUUGAAUUAUGGUGAAGUAGCUAGAAUAUGUAGUGUAGCGGUGAAAUGCAUAGAUAUUACAUAGAAUACCGAUUGCGAAGGCAGGUUACUAACCAUAUAUUGACACUGAUGGACGAAAGCGUGGGGAGCGAACGGGUUUAGAUACCCCGGUAGUCCACGCCGUAAACGAUGGAUACUAGCUGUCCGGCCUCGGCUGGGUGGCUAAGCGAAAGUGAUAAGUAUCCCACCUGGGGAGUACGUUCGCAAGAAUGAAACUCAAAGGAAUUGACGGGG